This 2033-nucleotide long non-coding RNA is filed under the name Lactuca sativa (garden lettuce). Its description in RNAcentral is "long non-coding RNA (LSAT_LNC005765)". The record is from RNAcentral. Lineage: Eukaryota; Viridiplantae; Streptophyta; Magnoliopsida; Asterales; Asteraceae.
UGCCGCCGUGUCGGGUGGCGGUGUGCUUUGCCUCGUUGUGAUUGAUUCGUAUGGGGUGCUUGAAACCCUAAUGGGCCCGAAGAAGCCUUAAUGAGGUUAGUGAAACCCUAUUGGGCCUAAUAAAGCCCUAGUUGACAUUAAAGCCCAAACAUGUGUCUAAUGGGCUUAAUGGACCCUAAUGGAUCCAAGGACUUAACUAAUGGGUCUAUUGGGCUAAGAUGGGUUGGAAACCCUAAUUAGGGUUUAGAAAACCCUAAUAUUGGACUUAUGGGCUUGGACUUAUUGAGACCCAUUUGUGGGCCAUUGGAAUAAUGGAAUUGUGUGAUUAAGCCCAAUCACACCAUAUGACUUAUUUAGAAAAAUGAUAGACUUAAUGGAUUAAGUCCUUAAUGGGUUAAGUGAGAAAUACUUAACCCUAAUCGUCAUUUUAUGUGAAACCCUAAUUUCACAUGGGUGUAUUGUUGGGCCUUCUAUUGGGCCUUGAGGAUUGCGUUAUUAAUGGGCCAUCCAAAGUCAAGCAAAUGGACUAGAAUAUUUAAUGGGCCUAGGGUAAGGCCCAUGUAAGGGGUUUGGGCCCAAUUUGGAAAAUUGGGCAUAGAGGGGCCACAGUUUGGGCCUUAAUGAUUAUAUGAUGUUGGGCCUUAGAAUGAGACCAUGUAUAGGCUUGGGCCCAAUUUGGAAAAUUGGGCCAUAUGUUGGACUUUGAGUCUUAGUCGACUUUGGGCCUAUGAAUUGGGCCUUGGGCUUGAAUAAGCCAAGCUAGGGGUAAUGUAGUAAUUACCCAAAGCAUGUACUUAUGGUUAUGUAGUGGAACCCAAUUAUUAAUUGGGUGAUGUUUUGAUAUUGACAGAUCGGGAAUCUGUCAUCCAGUAGCUGGGGUUGAGUCUGCGGGACGUCAGCAGUAUGGAGUUGAGUCUUCGGGACUUCAGCAGUGCGAGGUGAGUUACCCUCCAGUAGGAGUGGGUCUACGGCCACAAUGUCGACCCACUAGUAGGAGUUAAUUGUUAGAUGAUUGCCUUUGUGAUAAUUAUCUGGUGUGUUGUUAUCUGAUAUGCUUUAUGUGCUAGGAUGCUAUGACAUAUGUGUUAGUAGCGGUAGGGGUGAUAUAGCCCAUAGUUACCGGUUGAAAGAUACCGAAGGGGUAGAUAGUACCCCAGGCAUGCCUAGCAGUAUGAUCAUGAUAUGUUAUUAUGUGGUAGUGGUAAGGGGUGAAAUAGUCCCCGGUUACUGAUUGAAAGAUACCGAAAGCAGUUAUCGGUUGAAAGAUACCGAAGGGGUAGACAGAACCCAUGUAUGAUAUGUUAUUAAGUGACCAUUAUGGUUAUGAUAUGCCAUUAUGUGAUUCAGUAUGUUUAUGUUAUGUUAUCAUGGAACCAAUAUGUUUAUGACAUGUUAUUAUAUGAUAGUGGUGGGGGUGAAAUAGUCCCCGGUUACCGGUUGAAAGAUACCAAUGGCGGAUACUGGUUGAAAGAUACCGAAGGGGUAUACAGAACCCAUGCAAGGCUUAUCUGUUUGUUUAUGAUAUGUUGGUAUGUGAUCAUUAUGUUAUGAUGUUAGUAUGUGAUCGAUAUGUUAUGAUGUUAGUAUGUGAUCAGUAUGCUAUGAUAUUAGUAUGUGACCAGUAUGUUUAUGAUAUAUUAUUAUGUGAUGGUGGUGGGGGUGAAAUAGUCCCCGGAUACCUGUUGAAAGAUACCGAUGGCGGAUACCGGUUGAAAGAUACCGAUGUCGGAUACAGGUUGAAAGAUACCGAUGGCAGUUACCGGUUAAAAAAUACCGAUGAUAUUAUGUGGUAUGUGGUAUGAUGAGGGAACUCACUAAGCUUCGUGCUUACGGUUUAUAAUUUUGGUUUCAGGUGCUUUGUUUGCAAAGGAAAGGAGCCGGCUUGAUCGCAGCGCAUCACACUAUGUUUUCCGCACACUAGAUCCUUGGGAUUAUACUCUGAUAUGGUUUCAUAAUAUUAUAUUUUGAUUAUUCACACUUUGGUUUUAUGUAAUAACCUAAUUAAAAAUGAAAUUUUUGGCCUUGAAUUUUGG